GGGCGUGUGGUCCAGCUGGUCUAAGACACCGCUCUCACACAGCGGGAAUCGGCGGUUCGAAUCCGCCCACGCCCACCA
RNAcentral lists this transfer RNA (78 nucleotides) under Nitrososphaerota archaeon. RNAcentral describes it as "tRNA-Val". It matches the Rfam family "tRNA". From Rfam's summary of the family: Transfer RNA (tRNA) molecules are approximately 80 nucleotides in length. The record is from RNAcentral. Lineage: Archaea; Thermoproteati; Nitrososphaerota.